RNAcentral lists this ribosomal RNA (730 nucleotides) under Acetobacter sp. JU_27. RNAcentral describes it as "bacterial SSU rRNA". It matches the Rfam family "Bacterial small subunit ribosomal RNA", at positions 60 to 834 of the family's 1533-position model. Lineage: Bacteria; Pseudomonadati; Pseudomonadota; Alphaproteobacteria; Acetobacterales; Acetobacteraceae. The record is from RNAcentral.
AGUCGCACGAAGGUUUCGGCCUUAGUGGCGGACGGGUGAGUAACGCGUAGGAAUCUAUCCACGGGUGGGGGAUAACUUCGGGAAACUGAAGCUAAUACCGCAUGAUACCUAAGGGUCAAAGGCGCAAGUCGCCUGUGGAGGAGCCUGCGUUUGAUUAGCUUGUUGGUGGGGUAAUGGCCUACCAAGGCGAUGAUCGAUAGCUGGUUUGAGAGGAUGAUCAGCCACACUGGGACUGAGACACGGCCCAGACUCCUGCGGGAGGCAGCAGUGGGGAAUAUUGGACAAUGGGGGCAACCCUGAUCCAGCAAUGCCGCGUGUGUGAAGAAGGUUUUCGGAUUGUAAAGCACUUUCGGCGGGGACGAUGAUGACGGUACCCGCAGAAGAAGCCCCGGCUAACUUCGUGCCAGCAGCCGCGGUAAUACGAAGGGGGCUAGCGUUGCUCGGAAUGACUGGGCGUAAAGGGCGUGUAGGCGGUUUGUACAGUCAGAUGUGAAAUCCCCGGGCUUAACCUGGGAGCUGCAUUUGAUACGUGCAAACUAGAGUGUGAGAGAGGGUUGUGGAAUUCCCAGUGUAGAGGUGAAAUUCGUAGAUAUUGGGAAGAACACCGGUGGCGAAGGCGGCAACCUGGCUCAUAACUGACGCUGAGGCGCGAAAGCGUGGGGAGCAAACAGGAUUAGAUACCCUGGUAGUCCACGCUGUAAACGAUGUGUGCCAGAUGUUGGGUAACUUA